AACCCAGAUGUUCUAGUACUAGAGGAGGUUUUUUUUUCUCUUUUUUUUCCCAGGAAAUAACCUUCUCCAAACUGCAGUUUCCACGCCAUAUUAUAAUAUUUUGCUAUUUUGUCACUCGUUUUUUUUCCAUGGCACAUUUGCGAAGAUCUGAUCACAGCGCGGCAGUGUCUUUAAUCCGGCUCUACGGGCUGUUAAGUGAGAGAAUCUAAACGUGACGUCAAUGCCUAGUAACUGACGCAGCCCUUAAACAAAAAAAACAAAAAAGCCAUUUUAUUUAUUAUUUUUUCUUCGUCUCGUCAGCAAAGCUUAAUUUCUAAAUGUUAUAGUACUCCGUCGACUGAAAGAAAAAAGAAAAUCCCAGGGAGCGCAGGUAAUCCGCGUUCAUCAGUAUUUGGACCUGCGUUCAUGAGUUUCAUGCUGAAGUGACACUGGGACGAGAAGCUUCUGAAGAGGGCGACAAGACAUAAAAUGUUCUCGAUAAUAUUGGCAGCGACGACGAGUUCCAGAUUUUAGUUGUAGAGGGUGAAAGUAGUGUGUUUUAAGGCCGAGAACGGGGUGGAGGUGCUGUUGAAGGCACAUUGGGUUGCUAAAAAAAAACACUGCAAUGAUGCAACGGAGGGGAAUCGGGGCUCUUGUGCAGAGUUGUAGAGGCAAAAUUAAUUUACAUUACAUGCACUUCACGUAACGUUCCUACGCGAUGCCUUUUGUGAGUGUUUUUCCCUUCCUCAUACUGUGACCUAAAAAUAGCAUCAUAGUUUUGAUCGUGCGCCAGAAAUAGACAGACGGGUAUCACUUGUAUAAAAAGGGAGGCGAUCCUGAGCAAACUUGGACGUGCCACUAACAAGGACGUGCCUGCACCACGGUAUGACUCUUAUUGGCAUGCUUUACGACCCAUGUUUGACUGUAGAGCCGAAGCAUAGAGCAACCCUUCCCGCAGAGUUGGAAUCACCUCUUUUGGAUAGAACAACGAAUAUGAAAAUAAGGUAACUUGUGUGGUGGACCCUGCCGCUGCUGUGGGAGCUUCCAGCUGUGCGCCGGAGGAGAAAAGGGGGACCCACGUUUUGGGUGUUUUCACCGAGGAGCGUAGACGGAGAAAGGGAGAGAGAGAGAGAGAGAGACACCGACCGUCCGACAGACCUUCCUCCUCCUAUUGUCCUCCUCCUCUUCCUCAUCCCGAGAAAGGACCUCAAUGAUGCCUGUGAGAGGAAAGAAAACAGAAACUAACACAGACAAUGAUGCAGAAAGGAACAAUAAAGGUCGGCAGGGAGAGAGAAGGCAGCGGGACGGGCGGACGGAGAGCUUGGAUCAACCGACACCUUUUUUUCCAACAGCAACACCCAAAAUCCUGAGAGUCAAGCCAGUUUGAGUGAGACACACCCAUACCUCGCUGUCCUCAGGACCACAAAGAGUCAUCUAAUCCCGGUAUGGGAAGGUAAAAAGGACAGCUGUAACUGUUACGACAGCAGCCACCAUGUAAAGCAGCUGUAACUGGACAUGACACACACAUGAACGCAGAUGCAGCUGCUGUAAUGAUGCUGUGGUUGUCAGAUGAAAUAAGACUAUGGCUGUUUGGCUGCGAGGACACGACCGAGACGUGAAGGUGGACUCUCAAAACGUCCAAUAGCAGUGUGUGUGUGUGUGUGUGUAUAUUUCAUGUGUGAAAUAAUUAUGUUUAAUGCUGUCAGUUUAAAAACACUUUGAGGCUACUCUUUUACAGGUUACACUACACUUAAUUGCUGUUUUUAAUAUGUAAAACAUAUGUGAAAAACCUAGGUAUCAGAACUUGUUACUUUAUACAUGUUUAUUAAAUUAAAGAUCAGUGUAUAAUACUGCCUGUGCAAUGAUGUCAGAAUAUAAAAUCGGUGCUGUAAAAGUAUUUUUUGUAAAGAUUAUUUUGUGAAAGAGGACAUUUUAUAAAUAUAUUUUACCCUAAACAUUGUGACUGUGACUGUGAGACAGCUGGCCAGAAAUGCAUUUGAUUGCAACCCGUUUGAUAAUUGUUACACAACGUGCCGCUUCUUCCUCUCGGUGUCAUGUUGACUUCGAUCCCGCCACUUACGUCGAAGAAUACAAGUAACUGCACGAUGACUGUCAGCAUGUGGAAACAUUUUCAUACUCUUGGCCCUCUGCUGAGUACAUGUCAGGCUUUGCUUUGUGCCACAGAGCCUCGGUGUGUCAGAAUAUCAUGUUUAGUUUUGGUGUGAGAGAGACAUAGAGCAUGGCGGCAGAUGGGGUGAGUUGGAGACUUAAAAAAAUGCUAAAAAUAGGCUUUCUGGGUCGGAGUGGGGAAAUCACAUACUGCUGAGGAGUAAAAUCGUGACAACCGCUUGUGCUGAAACAUCCAACGUCUGUAAACAUGCCUGUCUCAUUCAUGUGCAUGGAAAUGUUAAGACGAUGGAAACAAAGCGAUGGCAAU
Molecule: long non-coding RNA, 2416 nt
Organism: Etheostoma spectabile (orangethroat darter)
Lineage: Eukaryota; Metazoa; Chordata; Actinopteri; Perciformes; Percidae
Exons: 8
Source: RefSeq, a predicted model, not a curated record